UCGGUGCACUGAAGUUUAUUACUUUAAACCUUGAAGCAUACACAUGUAGUUUAUUACUUUAAACCUUGAAGCAUACACAUGUAGGUCACUUCGGUGUACUGAAGUUUAUUACUUUAAACCUUGAAGCAUACACAUGUAGGUCACCUCGGUGCACUGAAGUUUAUUACUUUAAACCUUGAAGCAUACACAUUUAGGUCACCUCGGUGCACUGAAGUUUAUUACUUUAAACCUUGAAGCAUACACAUGUAGGUUACUUCGGUGCACUGAAGUUUAUUACUUUAAACCUUGAAGCAUACACAUGUAGGUCACCUCGGUGCACUGAAGUUUAUUACUUUAAACCUUGAAGCAUACACAUGUAGGUCACCUCGGUGCACUGAAGUUUAUUACUUUAAACCUUGAAGCAUACACAUGUAGGUCACUUCGGUGUACUGAAGUUUAUUUAGUAUUGUCAUUCCCUUCAUUUUUAACAACUGAAAAGAUUCAAACCAGUGUGUUUGCCUCAUAAAGGAUUUCAGGACUGAAAUUAAUGAGUGCAUUGGUACAGGUACAGGUACAUUAGGGAACAUUUUGUUCAGUAUCGCGUCAUGAUUCACUACACAAUUAAGUUUCAGAGAUCACUACACAAUGUUGAAACAUUAAACAGUAGUUGCUAAUCAAUUUUCAGUUGAACAGAAAUAUUGCUAAUCAAGAUUUUGAAAACAAAAUGUUCCCUGUACAUGUAGGGUGCAUCUUAAUAUGUAUUAUACUGAUGGAAAGAAAUAAGGGAACACAUCGAAUUGUAGACUAAAUUUAAUUCACAACUAGCGUAGUAAUGUCUGUAGUUCAUACCAAGUUGUAAUGUGGGAUUGAAUGUCUGUAGUGUUGAAUAUAGUGCCUAUAUGUUCCCAGUCAACUUCUGACAAUAUGAAUUGAUUUUUGUUGCAGUCAUUAUUUCUUGUUGCUAUCUGUGUGAUCCUUUAUUUCUUUCCGUCAGUAUAUUUAACUUUGAAUUGUAAAAUAGAUUGGUAUACCAGUGGUACAGCACAUGUAGAGAAAAAAACACAAAUUAAAAGUUCAUCUGAGUUUUUAAUUCUAUCUCCACAUUGUUGUUUUUCAAUGGUAAAUAAUGACUAUAAUUGGUUGGUGAGAUAUAUCAUUGUGGCCAUCUUAAGUGUAAAAUUAUAAAUUUUGGUGAUGCUUUUUUAAUAUAUUUUUUAAAACCAUUUUCAGAUUGUCCAUAUGGUCAUAUCAUAACACUGUUUUCAAUUUCUCUUCCCAUUUGAAUAACCAAAAACACUGGAUGUACAAAAUGUAAAAAGACUAUCUUCGAGUUGUUUUCCUUUGUUACACAUGUCUUUUUAAUAAGCAAAAUCUCUUAUCCAAUAAAUAUGCUUGUUUAGAACAUCAUUGUGUGUAUAUCCAGCGAGUUUCUAAUCCUACUGUUUGUAGUAGCAUAACUUCACUUUAUUUAAGCAUUGUCCGUUAUUUCUUUUACCUUCAUCGGGUAUCAACAAACAAACAUUUAAAAAUUAUCUGCAGACUGAGUGAAUUGGCGAAGCCGUUCUUACAUAAGUUUACGGAUCAUAUGUGUUGUUCAUACCCAGAUGAGCAUAAAAGAAAUAACAAACAAUACUUAUAAUUAAAUUUGAAUCAUACUUGCUAAUACUAACACUAAAAGUUCAUACUUCAUUUUGAAUUAUUUUUGGUCCACAAACAAUAAUGCUCAACAAGACAACUUGUCCAUAUAAAAUGACGUCAUCAGAUAAUAUGACGUUCCCUGACGAUGUAAUUUUUACGCUCACUGACAAAUGAAUAAAUUCACGUUGCUAAGUCUGGACCAGUGAGAUGAUGUUAUGUGGUAAUGAAUGUAACGGACAUUUAAUUAUUUUAAAAUAUAUAUUUGUUUGAUAUUUACGAAAUUAUUGGGAUGUGAAAAAAACCUCUUUACGCUACUACAUACAUGUAUAUUAGGAUGACCAGAAGAAAUGUAUUGAAUAUACAUCCAGACAUUAAUACUCUAAAUACGGAAAUGUAUUUAAUAUGUCAUGUUAGUACAGUAAAACCCCACCUAACGACCACCCCGGUGCUAAGACCACCCCACUGUAAAGACCAAUAUUUUAAAUACUGAGAUAUUUCCUUAUUAUUUUAUAGUAAAACUAACCCAGUGUAACAGCUCAAAAUAUACCCUUAGCCAAACUAUAUCCGGGGUUAAAGUGGGCUAGCCUGUUUUAUACCCCUAACCAUAACUUUUUAUUACUAACAUGUAUACAAAAUAAAUAAAUAAAUAAUCUGGACUAGAGAGGUAUAUUCUGGGCUAGCCUAUUUUAUGCCCUGGGGUAUAUUCUAGUCUAGUCCAGUUUAUACCCCGGGUAUAGUUUGACGGUUGUAUAUUUUGGGCUAUUAAGAUCACCCCGCUAUUACAGAUUACGACCAGUAAAGUCAAACCCAAUGGUAGUUUUCAGUGCAUUUGGACCCCACAAAUGUGACCACAUAAUUUACUUAUCACGUCACAUAAGCAACAAAUACCGCUGUAAAAUCUUGCCUAGGUAUCCACGCUAUGGUGUUAAAGUAAAUUCACAAUUAAUAUUUACCAAACAAUCAUCAUUUUGAAUGAUAAUAUUGGUAAUUUGGUAUUCGCACCACCCCGCUAUUAAGACCAGUUUUAAUAAGUCCUGCCGGUGAUCGCAAUAGCAGGGUUUCACUGUAAUUAUUAAAGGUCUGUUAGUCAGAAAUAUGUGACAACAUCAGCAAACUCAAACUCAGCACUUUAAUAAUCUAAGGAAGCAGAACAAAAUCCUUUAACUUUGGUCCAGCACAUUUUCAUAUUAAUUGCCUUUUUAAUAUUUGAAAGAUGCCAACAGAUGACCAUAGAACAUGGUACAUGCAGCCUACAGUAUUAAGCACAUACGUGUUUAACAUCUCGAGACAAAUGACUUGUUAUGCAAGGUGCCCUUUAUGAGUUUCACUUUAUUGUUAAUUUGACAGUGUGGUGUGUUGGCGAUUAAAAUGUGACAGGAUGUGAUGUGGAAAUGUUUACAAGUGUGUACAUACACUGUCGGUAUGUAGCGUAAGUUUGACAGCGAUUGAUUGCCGACCGUUUAGUUGUUAAUCUGACAGGAUGUGAUGUGGAAAUGUUUACAAGUGUGUACAUACACUGUCGGUAUGUAGCGUAAGUUUGACAGCGAUUGAUUGCCGACCGUUUAGUUGUUAAUCUGACAGGAUGUGAUGUGGAAAUGUUUACAAGUGUGUACAUACACUGUCGGUAUGUAGCGUAAGUUUGACAGCGAUUGAUUGCCGACCGUUUAGUUGUUAAUCUGACAGGAUGUGAUGUGGAAAUGUUUACAAGUGUGUACAUACACUGUCGGUAUGUAGCGUAAGUUUGACAGCGAUUGAUUGCCGACCGUUUAGUUGUUAAUUUGAAUGCACCCGUUGUAAAUUGAGAGUGGGUGGAAUUAUAAUGCAACCGUGAAGUUGGCCAACUCUGUCAUGACUGUUGAAAUGUCAAGUUUCAAAUUUUCAGAUAUGUACUAAACAAAUGUCACUGGUUCUGACAUGCACUGUAAAAGAAUUGUGCAUGUUUGGUGUGUGUGUGUUUGUGUGUGUGUGUGCAUUUGCGUGUGUUUGCAUUUAUGUGUGUUUGCAUUUAUGUGUGCAUACACAAAUGGCAAUAAACUAAAAUAUUUAAAUAACAUGUUAAUUUAUGAUUUGUGUGUUUUAUUUUGCAUGUUUUUAUUAUUAAGUAUGAUGACCAUUUUAAUGAUGUCUUUGUUAUAUGAGAAGUAUUGUCAUAUGAAGAUAUUGUAUAUUCAGUUUUUCACUGUAGGAAUGCAAUAAAAUGUCCUGAUUUACCUGAA
This 3833-nucleotide long non-coding RNA is filed under the name Gigantopelta aegis. RNAcentral's name for it is "uncharacterized LOC121385255". The record is from RNAcentral. Lineage: Eukaryota; Metazoa; Mollusca; Gastropoda; Neomphalida; Peltospiridae.